Arabidopsis lyrata subsp. lyrata is the source of this 82-nucleotide small nucleolar RNA. It matches the Rfam family "Small nucleolar RNA ncR4". Lineage: Eukaryota; Viridiplantae; Streptophyta; Magnoliopsida; Brassicales; Brassicaceae. The record is from Rfam.
GAUCUUAAGUCCGUUUGACGACCCGUCAGGUGCGGUGAACUCUUGGGUUGAUAGAGUUGCACUCUGAGUUGGUGAUCUCAAG